AUGGAUGGGGAGUUACUGGAAUACGACAGUGAUGUGCAAAAUAUGUUGGACCCCUUCACCACAAGCCAACACCUACUCCAGCACGAGCAUGGUGAUGAGAUGCAUGGCCUGCUGGGAGCCACUACCAACAUGGGCAACACUGACGAUGCCAACACUGCUGCUGCAGACAAAGGCAAAAAUAAUGAUGGAGAGACCCAUACUCAUAGUGAUCAGAGAAUGGAAUGCCUUUAUCCAGAUGCGGAACUCUGGAAAGACCUUAGCGAGAGGCUUGACAUGAGUGCCCGGCAGGUCAAGUUUUGGUUCCAAAACAAACGCUCCUCCAGCAAGGGCAAGAGGCAACUACAGGACACCAAGAAUCUUCAGAGAGAGAACCAGAUGCUAAAAGAUGAAAACCAAGCCAUCAAGUGGGUUGUUGAAAACAAGACAUGCCUCAAAUGCGCAGGGGUGAUGCUAAAAACUCAAAAUACCUCGGAGCACCAACGCCUGUCUAGAGAGAAUAUGUGGCUCAAGGAAAAACUCCGCCAUGCCACCGCCUAUCUUAAAGAGGGUCUCUACCGUAAUGGCAUGUAG
This 570-nucleotide ribosomal RNA is filed under the name Triticum aestivum (bread wheat). RNAcentral describes it as "partial small subunit ribosomal RNA". The record is from RNAcentral. Lineage: Eukaryota; Viridiplantae; Streptophyta; Magnoliopsida; Poales; Poaceae.